GGUGGCUCAGUGUUAGAGUGCUUGCCUUGCAUGCAUGAGGACCUGGGUUCGAUUCCUCAGCACCA
RNAcentral lists this transfer RNA (65 nucleotides) under Dipodomys ordii (Ord's kangaroo rat). It matches the Rfam family "tRNA". Rfam says of the family: Transfer RNA (tRNA) molecules are approximately 80 nucleotides in length. Their secondary structure includes four short double-helical elements and three loops (D, anti-codon, and T loops). Further hydrogen bonds mediate the characteristic L-shaped molecular structure. tRNAs have two regions of fundamental functional importance: the anti-codon, which is responsible for specific mRNA codon recognition, and the 3' end, to which the tRNAs corresponding amino acid is attached (by aminoacyl-tRNA synthetases). tRNAs cope with the degeneracy of the genetic code in two manners: having more than one tRNA (with a specific anti-codon) for a particular amino acid; and 'wobble' base-pairing, i.e. permitting non-standard base-pairing at the 3rd anti-codon position. Lineage: Eukaryota; Metazoa; Chordata; Mammalia; Rodentia; Heteromyidae. The record is from Rfam by way of RNAcentral.